CCUACGGGUGGCUGCAGUGGGGAAUAUUGGACAAUGGGGGGAACCCUGAUCCAGCCAUGCCGCGUGUGUGAAGAAGGCCCUCGGGUUGUAAAGCACUUUCAGUGAGGAAGAACGCCUGGUGGUUAAUACCCAUCAGGAAAGACAUCACUCACAGAAGAAGCACCGGCUAACUCCGUGCCAGCAGCCGCGGUAAUACGGAGGGUGCGAGCGUUAAUCGGAAUUACUGGGCGUAAAGCGCGCGUAGGUGGCUUGAUAAGCCGGUUGUGAAAGCCCCGGGCUCAACCUGGGAGCGGCAUCCGGAACUGUCAAGCUAGAGUGCAGGAGAGGAAGGUAGAAUUCCCGGUGUAGCGGUGAAAUGCGUAGAGAUCGGGAGGAAUACCAGUGGCGAAGGCGGCCUUCUGGACUGACACUGACACUGAGGUGCGAAAGCGUGGGUAGCAAACAGGAUUAGAUACCCCUGUAGUC
Molecule: ribosomal RNA, 465 nt
Filed under: Vreelandella stevensii
Lineage: Bacteria; Pseudomonadati; Pseudomonadota; Gammaproteobacteria; Oceanospirillales; Halomonadaceae
Description: partial 16S ribosomal RNA
Rfam family: Bacterial small subunit ribosomal RNA
Source: RNAcentral